AGCAGCCGCGGUAAUUCCAGCUCCAAUAGCGUAUAUUAAAGUUGUUGCAGUUAAAAAGCUCGUAGUUGAAUUUCGGGGUCAGUAGGUUGGUCGUGCCACUGGUACGUACUGGUCUCACUGAUUCCUCCUUCCUGAUGAACCGUAAUGCCAUUAAUUUGGUGUUGCGGGGAAACUGGACUGUUACUUUGAAAAAUUAGAGUGUUUAAAGCAGGCUAACGCUUGAAUACAUUAGCAUGGAAUAAUGAAAUAGGACGUUCGAUCCUAUUUUGUUGGUUUCUAGGAUUGACGUAAUGAUUAAUAGGGAUAGUUGGGGGCAUUAGUAUUCAAUUGUCAGAGGUGAAAUUCUUGGAUUUAUUGAAGACUAACUACUGCGAAAGCAAUUUGCCAAGGAUGUUUUCAUUAAUCAAGAACGAAAGUUAGGGGAUCGAAGACGAGUCAGAUACCGUCGUAGUCUUAACCAUAAACUAUGCCGACUAGGGAUCGGAUGAUGUUAAUUUUUUAAUGACUCA
Molecule: ribosomal RNA, 509 nt
Filed under: uncultured Glomeraceae
Lineage: Eukaryota; Fungi; Glomeromycota; Glomeromycetes; Glomerales; Glomeraceae
Description: SSU rRNA
Rfam family: Eukaryotic small subunit ribosomal RNA
Source: RNAcentral